GCACACAGGUGCUGCAUGGCUGUCGUCAGCUCGUGUCGUGAGAUGUUGGGUUAAGUCCCGCAACGAGCGCAACCCUUGCCAUUAGUUGCUACAUUCAGUUGAGCACUCUAAUGGGACUGCCGGUGACAAACCGGAGGAAGGUGGGGAUGACGUCAAGUCCUCAUGGCCCUUAUAGGUGGGGCUACACACGUCAUACAAUGGCUGGUACAAAGGGUUGCCAACCCGCGAGGGGGAGCUAAUCCCAUAAAGCCAGUCGUAGUCCGGAUCGCAGUCUGCAACUCGACUGCGUGAAGUCGGAAUCGCUAGUAAUCGUGGAUCAGAAUGUCACGGUGAAUACGUUCCCGGGUCUUGUACACACCGCCCGUCACACCAUGGGAGCGGGUCUCGCCAGAAGUAGGUAGCCUAACCGCAAGGAGGGCGCUUACCACGGCGGGGUUCGUGACUGGGGUGAAGUCGUAACAAGGUAGCCGU
This 471-nucleotide ribosomal RNA is filed under the name uncultured bacterium. Its description in RNAcentral is "bacterial SSU rRNA". It matches the Rfam family "Bacterial small subunit ribosomal RNA", at positions 1030 to 1503 of the family's 1533-position model. The record is from RNAcentral.